AACCAGAAAUGAAACUCCCAGGAAGUCCUGAUUUGCCCCUUUCUCCAGAGGCAUUCAAGGAAGAGUUUUGCCCCAUUGACAACUUCCAAGAAAUUUCCAUUUGGUUUUCUUUUAAGAAAAAGGGAGGUUAGGUCCCAAGCCCUGGUUUGCCUGUUAGUGUGUGAUCCCCAGGGAGCUGAGAAGAAUGUAGGGAAAAGCAGUUUUCACCAGUUUGCAAGUCAGCAGUGGUGGGAUGCGUCCAGCAGGGAGCCUUUCCUGAGGUGUGGAGCCAGGGCCCUUCCUUGGCACUCACAUAGGGAUGAUAGAGGAGUGGCUUAGCUGGCUGGGGCCCCCAGAGGUCCAGGUUCCCAGGCUCCUCUGGGGCAGGUGUGCCAACAGACGAUUUACCCUGCUCCAGCCCCAGGCAGCCCUGCAUGGACCACUGGUGGGCCCCUGCCUCACCCCUCCAUUUCGGUGAGGUGCCGGCUUUCUUGCCGCAGUUUGCUUGGUCUGAUGCCUUUGGGGGAGAACAUCCGUGGCCUCUGCCCACUAUUCUUUCUGUCUGGACCGCCGGGUAGGUUGUCGGAUGCCACGCUCAGAAUUAAUAGAGAUAUGAGCGAAGGGGCCAUGCUGGUGGGGGCCAUGGUCCCAAAUGCCGUCAGGGAGGUGGGUUAGAAAGGGACGAGAUGGUGGAGGCUGGGCUUGUGGCCGCUCACUUUGGGGAGCUGGGAUUUGCUUCCCACUGUGGUCGAUCUGUAGUCCAGUCUUCCACCUCAUCCAUCCAUCCAAGGUCACAGAGCCACAAGAGCCCAGAUGGGGAUUACCCAGAGGUGAGGUUGAUGUAAUCAGAUGGUCACUUGGUCUGGGCAGUUUAGAAGGCCUUGACUUUCUGAGCAUCCAGGCUGGGGGCAUCUUGAUGGGGUGGCCCAGGGAAGGCAGUGAGCAGGGGAGGCCUUUCCAUUCUGGAAGGCUCCAUGCCACCCACAGAUGUGGCUUCCCCUCCCUUCCCCCACGCUUUGAUAGGAGUGCCCACCAUCUCCCUUCCUCCCCACGACGUGUAAAGAGAUCAGGAUGCGUAUGGAGGAGGAGCUUCAGAGGCUGCCACCUCUUGCUUUUUCAUGCAGGGUGGGCUUGUCGAUGA
Molecule: long non-coding RNA, 1120 nt
Filed under: Phascolarctos cinereus (koala)
Lineage: Eukaryota; Metazoa; Chordata; Mammalia; Diprotodontia; Phascolarctidae
Description: lncRNA (ENSPCIG00000036770.1)
Source: RNAcentral